GAGCUGAGGUUGGAUAUCUGUGUCAAGGACGGUUCUGAAAGGACGUGGUCUCAUGAACAGCUCUUUACUUUGGGAUGGAGAGAAGAUAUCCGACCCGGGGAGCCACUUCACACCCGAAAAUUCUGCUUCGAUGCAAUCUCGCACAACAGCCCGGUCACUCUCUAUGACUGUCACGGCAUGAAGGGGAACCAGCUCUGGGGAUACAGAAAGGACAGAACAUUAUUCCAUCCUGUGAGCAACAGCUGUGUGGACUGCAACCCCGCAGAGAAGAAGAUUUUCAUGGCCAGAUGUGACCCUCUCUCUGAGACUCAGCAGUGGGUUUUUGAACAUCUUAAUAUGACUGUUUUAGAAAAAUUUAACCACCAUGCCAGCUCCUAGGAAGAAGGAAGGAGGAAAGAACGAGUGAUUACCUACAGAUUAUAAAAACUAAAUUUUAGCCAGCAUCUGGGUCGAAGGAGUCAGGAAUAACAUUUCCUAGAUCCAGGAAGCCUGGUUUAAAGAUUUGUAAAUGCCAUGUCAAAGUAGGUUGUCCUGCAGAAAUUCCUGCAUCUGAAGAACUUGGCCGAGAACCUCACCAGCUGCAUCUGAGAACUCGAGACUAGCAGUGCCCUUGCUGGACAAGGGCAAAGAUUACUUAAGGACUUUUCAAAACAACUGCUGAGUUAAUAAAUCCUAGCAUUUCUCAGGUCAAAUCCUGCAGUAGUGAGUAGCUAUGAAUGGAUCCUAUUAACUGGGUGGGAGGGGGGCGGAAAUAGAGUGCAUGACUGCUCUGAAAAGCUGAGGAUACCGCAGGUUUAGAACGAGCCACACUUAAGGGGUGAGCUGUACUCUUUGGUGCCAUUCUCUGACUAAGAAUGGGUUAAGCAGGUUUAACCCUUCAAAGUGCUGCAGAUGAUUUUCGAGUGCUCAUACCAUUCUGUUCUCUUGUUUUAUUUUUAAACGAGGGUGCACUAUCUAAUGGAAGACGUAAAUUACAUAAUGAAACGAACUUCCAAUGUUCCCGUUCUUUCAUUUACAUUUGCCAUUUUCCUUUUUAGAGCAGAGGUAACUUAUUGUUCGUAAAAGCUCACGCUCCACAAAUCUGCUGAAGUUCUAAUUCAGUGCCCUUGUAUAAAUCCUGUUUCAAAACAAAACAAAACAAAAUCUAUGCUACCAAGUUACUCCAAAGAGAAAGAUUUCACAGAAGCAGCAAAACCAUGCAAGGUUGAGGAGAGGGAUUUCCCUAGGAAAUCUAUUUUUACUUUUCUAUUACUUUUAGAAUUUUAAAAGUCUGAUGUUUGUCCAGUCAUAAUUUUUAUUAAGGAAGGAAAUGGAGUGAGGUUGAUGUAAUCUGUUGAGGAGAUUCUUAAA
Molecule: long non-coding RNA, 1350 nt
Organism: Lynx canadensis (Canada lynx)
Lineage: Eukaryota; Metazoa; Chordata; Mammalia; Carnivora; Felidae
Exons: 3
Source: RefSeq, a predicted model, not a curated record